Molecule: long non-coding RNA, 337 nt
Filed under: Heterocephalus glaber (naked mole-rat)
Lineage: Eukaryota; Metazoa; Chordata; Mammalia; Rodentia; Bathyergidae
Description: lncRNA (ENSHGLG00100049962.1)
Source: RNAcentral
UGGGAUAAUAGUGCUCGUGCUCUGUUUCCACUCUCACUGCCCGUUUAGGUGACAGAAAGGUCAAAGUGCAACUGUUCUUCUCAUCCCAGACUAUUUUAAAGGCCUCAGAAGAGAGAUUUCUCCAUUUCUCACUUUCUGGGUGUUGCUUGUGGGAGAGAUGCCAGCCAGUAGCCUAUCCUUCACCCCUCGGUGGAUCAAAACAGACCUUAUGUGAUUCAGCCUGUAGUUCACUUUGAAGUUUGAAUCAACAUUAUGAAAGCAUUGAUAAUACACAGAUGGGUAUUACUGAAACUGAAAAUGCGGAUAAAAAUUUCAAGGAAUGGAGGAAGUAAAAGUC